CCUACGGGUGGCAGCAGUGAGGAAUAUUGGUCAAUGGGCGCGAGCCUGAACCAGCCAAGUCGCGUGAGGGAAGACGGUCCUACGGGUUGUAAACUUCUUUUAUACGGGAGUAAUUCGAGAUACGUGUGCCUUGUUGAGAGUACCCUAUGAAUAAGGAUCGGCUAACUCCGUGCCAGCAGCCGCGGUAAUACGGAGGAUCCGAGCGUUAUCCGGAUUUAUUGGGUUUAAAGGGUGCGUAGGCGGUCAGGUAAGUUAGAGGUGAAAGUUCGAUGCUCAACAGCGAAACUGCCUUUGAUACUGUAUGCCUAGAGUGUAGUUGAGGAAGGCGGAAUGCGUGGUGUAGCGGUGAAAUGCUUAGAUAUCACGCAGAACUCCGAUUGCGAAGGCAGCUUUCCAAGCUGCAACUGACGCUGAGGCACGAAAGCGUGGGUAGCGAACAGGAUUAGAUACCCCUGUAGUC
Molecule: ribosomal RNA, 460 nt
Filed under: uncultured bacterium
Lineage: Bacteria
Description: partial 16S ribosomal RNA
Rfam family: Bacterial small subunit ribosomal RNA
Source: RNAcentral